CAGUUGGCCUUUAAUUGGGGUCGGGUAUGAAAGGAGAAAUCUAAGUAUAACUGUCUCAACAGUAUAUCUCUGAACUUACUUAUAGGGUGAAAAUUCCCAAAAAUAAAUAAAAGACGAGAAGACCCUUAGACUUGUUCCUAAGUGUAAUUAAAUUUAUAUAAGGCUUUGUUGGGGCGACAGAAUGCCAGCUGAUACAUAACGCAUUUAUAGAAUAUUGGGAUUUAACAAGUCUUAUUUCUUAUAAUGGAAGUACCUAAGGGAUAACAGCAUUAUUAAUUAAUUACAUUG
This 288-nucleotide ribosomal RNA is filed under the name Clessinia cordovana cordovana. Its description in RNAcentral is "partial 16S ribosomal RNA". The record is from RNAcentral. Lineage: Eukaryota; Metazoa; Mollusca; Gastropoda; Stylommatophora; Odontostomidae.